RNAcentral lists this ribosomal RNA (265 nucleotides) under uncultured archaeon. Its description in RNAcentral is "partial 16S ribosomal RNA". It matches the Rfam family "Archaeal small subunit ribosomal RNA", at positions 717 to 982 of the family's 1478-position model. The record is from RNAcentral.
AGUCACUGACAUUUAGAUACCCCCGUAGUCCAGGGUGUAAACGCUGCAGACUUGGUGUUGGGGGCCCUUUGGGGGCAUUCAGUGCCGGAGAGAAGUUGUUAAGUCUGCUACUUGGGGAGUACGUCCGCAAGGAUGAAACUUAAAGGAAUUGGCGGGGGAGCACCGCAACGGGAGGAGCGUGCGGUUUAAUUGGAUUCAACACCGUAAACUCACCAGGGAAGACUGUUACAUGAAGGCCGAGAUGAAGACUCUGCUAGAUUUUCAG